AUACGUAGGGCGCGAGCGUUGUCCGGAAUUAUUGGGCGUAAAGGGCGUGUAGGCGGUUUGGACAGUCAGAUGUGAAAUCCCCGGGCUUAACCUGGGAGCUGCAUUUGAUACGUCCAGACUAGAGUAUGAGAGAGGGUUGUGGAAUUCUCAGUGUAGAGGUGAAAUUCGUAGAUAUUGGGAAGAACACCGGUGGCGCAGGCGGCAACCUGGCUCAUUACUGACGCUGAGGCGCGAAAGCGUGGGGAGCAAACAGGAUUAGAUACCCUGGUAGUCCACGCUGUAAACGAUGUGUGCUGGAUGUUGGGUAACUUAGUUACUCAGUGUCGUAGCUAACGCGAUAAGCACACCGCCUGGAGAGUACGGCCGCAAGGUUGAA
This 376-nucleotide ribosomal RNA is filed under the name uncultured bacterium. Its description in RNAcentral is "bacterial SSU rRNA". It matches the Rfam family "Bacterial small subunit ribosomal RNA", at positions 523 to 898 of the family's 1533-position model. The record is from RNAcentral.